GUCGUAACAAGGUUUCCGUAGGUGAACCUGCGGAAGGAUCAUUAAAGAAUCGCCCCGUUUUUUGAAAUGGGUUCUAUUCCCAAACCGUGUAUACAUACCUUUGUUGCUUUGGCGGGCCGCCUUCGGGCGUUGGCUUCCAGCUGACUGCGCCCGCCAGAGGACCCAAACUCGUUUGUUUAGUGAUGUCUGAGUACUAUAUAGUAGUUAAAACUUUCAACAACGGAUCUCUUGGUUCCGGCAUCGAUGAAGAACGCAGCGAAAUGCGAUAAGUAAUGUGAAUUGCAGAAUUCAGUGAAUCAUCGAAUCUUUGAACGCACAUUGCGCCCCUUGGUAUUCCGAGGGGCAUGCCUGUUCGAGCGUCAUUAUAACCAUUCAAGCCUUGGCUUGGUAUUGGGGUUUCGCGGUUCUGCGGCCCUUAAAAUCAGUGGCGGUGCCGUCUGGCUCUAAGCGUAGUAAUUCUCUCGCUAUAGGGUCCCGGCGGUGGCUUGCCAAAACCCCUCUAUUUUCUUACGGUUGACCUCGGAUCAGGUAGGGAUACCCGCUGAACUUAAGCAUAUCAAUAAGCGGAGGAAAAGAAACCAACAGGGAUUGCCUCAGUAACGGCGAGUGAAGCGGCAACAGCUCAAAUUUGAAAUCUGGCUCUUUCAGGGUCCGAGUUGUAAUUUGUAGAAGAUGCUUUGGGUGUAGCUCCGGUCUAAGUUCCUUGGAACAGGACGUCAUAGAGGGUGAGAAUCCCGUACGUGACUGGGUGCUUUCGCUCGUGUAAAGCUCUUUCGACGAGUCGAGUUGUUUGGGAAUGCAGCUCAAAAUGGGUGGUAAAUUUCAUCUAAAGCUAAAUAUUGGCCAGAGACCGAUAGCGCACAAGUAGAGUGAUCGAAAGAUGAAAAGCACUUUGGAAAGAGAGUUAAACAGUACGUGAAAUUGUUGAAAGGGAAGCGCUUGCAACCAGACUUGCGCGCUGUUGAUCAUCCGAGGUUUUCCCCGGUGCACUCGGCAGCGUUCAGGCCAGCAUCGGUUUUGGUGGGCGGAUAAAGGCCUUGGGAAUGUAGUUUCUUUCGGGGAGUGUUAUAGCCCUCGGUGCAAUGCGCCCUACCGGGACCGAGGACCGCGCUUCGGCUAGGAUGCUGGCGUAAUGGUUGUAAGCGACC
This 1148-nucleotide ribosomal RNA is filed under the name uncultured fungus. Its description in RNAcentral is "eukaryotic LSU rRNA". The stretch from base 515 to 1148 matches the Rfam family "Eukaryotic large subunit ribosomal RNA", at positions 1 to 649 of the family's 3401-position model. Lineage: Eukaryota; Fungi. The record is from RNAcentral.